RNAcentral lists this ribosomal RNA (433 nucleotides) under uncultured bacterium. RNAcentral's name for it is "partial 16S ribosomal RNA". It matches the Rfam family "Bacterial small subunit ribosomal RNA", at positions 29 to 507 of the family's 1533-position model. The record is from RNAcentral.
AACGAACGCUGGCGGCAUGCCUAACACAUGCAAGUCGAACGAGACCUUCGGGUCUAGUGGCGCACGGGUGCGUAACGCGUGGGAACCUGCCCUUAGGUUCGGAAUAACUCCCCGAAAGGGGUGCUAAUACCGGAUAAUGUCUUCGGACCAAAGAUUUAUCGCCUUUGGAUGGGCCCGCGUUGGAUUAGCUAGUUGGUAGGGUAAAAGCCUACCAAGGCGACGAUCCAUAGCUGGUCUGAGAGGAUGAUCAGCCACACUGGGACUGAGACACGGCCCAGACUCCUACGGGAGGUAGCAGUGGGGAAUAUUGGACAAUGGGCGAAAGCCUGAUCCAGCAAUGCCGCGUGAGUGAUGAAGGCCUUAGGGUUGAAAAGCUCUUUUACCCGGGAUGAUAAUGACAGUACCGGGAGAAUAAGCUCCGGCUAACUCCGUG